Long non-coding RNA from Felis catus (domestic cat), 528 nucleotides. RefSeq lists it as uncharacterized. The transcript is spliced from 2 exons. The record is from RefSeq and is a predicted model, not a curated record. NCBI's taxonomy places the organism in Eukaryota, Metazoa, Chordata, Mammalia, Carnivora, Felidae.
UGACACCAUGUUCCCUUCCUAAGAACCGUUCAGCUGCUGGGGAAGGAUGAGGGGCUGGCCACCCAGGCACGGCGACCACAGGGCACUCCUCGCCACCUCCUCAGGUUUUGAAGGGUGAAUAAACAUACAAGCCAACAUCCAGCAUGAGGAAGGAUCUGGAAGACCCAUCAUCUGUCAGCCUGCUCAUUUCUCACCCCAGGCCACAGGAGGGAGCACCCAACCCUGCCUGGCCCUUCGUGGUACCUUGGAAUCCAGCACUACACCUAUGUACUGAGCAGAACCAAUCACAAUCCUUUCCCAAGACUGAUGUCAGACUCAGGGGACACGCCUCCCUUGCAUGGCCAGGGUUUCUGAGCUGGGAUGUCACUGGUCUGAUGCCAAGAAAGGUCACUUUCCCAACUCCAUGGGGUGGGGUGGGGUCCCGUCAAGUGGCUGACAACAUGGCUGGCACAGCCAGGGAGGCCAAGCGACUUCCUUGAGUCCCUGGUCUCUGCCUGAAGCCAGGACCAACCCCUUGGCUAGUUCCAG